CAAUAGCGUAUAUUAACGUUGUUGCAGUUAAAAAGCUCGUAGUUGGAUUUCUGGAGGGAGCGUCGGCCCGUAUUUACGAGUGCGUGACGUCUCUGUCCAUCCUUGCGGGAAGGCACGGCAUUGAUUUGUUGUGUCGGAUCGCAUCAUUUACUGUGAAAAAAUUAGAGUGUUCAAAGCAGGCUUUCGCUUGAAUACAUUAGCAUGGAAUAAUAAGAUAGGACUUUGGUCUAUUUUGUUGGUUUGCAGACCGAAGUAAUGAUUAAUAGGGAUAGUUGGGGGUAUUUAUAUUCCGAUGUCAGGGGUGAAAUUCUUAGAUUUUCGGAAGAUAAACUUAUGCGAAAGCAUUUACCAAGGAUGUUUUCAUUAA
RNAcentral lists this ribosomal RNA (367 nucleotides) under uncultured eukaryote. RNAcentral's name for it is "partial 18S ribosomal RNA". It matches the Rfam family "Eukaryotic small subunit ribosomal RNA", at positions 592 to 976 of the family's 1831-position model. The record is from RNAcentral.